AUUGAACGCUGGCGGCAGGCCUAACACAUGCAAGUCGAGCGGAUGAAGGGAGCUUGCUCCUGGAUUCAGCGGCGGACGGGUGAGUAAUGCCUAGGAAUCUGCCUGGUAGUGGGGGAUAACGUCCGGAAACGGGCGCUAAUACCGCAUACGUCCUGAGGGAGAAAGUGGGGGAUCUUCGGACCUCACGCUAUCAGAUGAGCCUAGGUCGGAUUAGCUAGUUGGUGGGGUAAAGGCCUACCAAGGCGACGAUCCGUAACUGGUCUGAGAGGAUGAUCAGUCACACUGGAACUGAGACACGGUCCAGGCUCCUACGGGAGGCAGCAGUGGGGAAUAUUGGACAAUGGGCGAAAGCCUGAUCCAGCCAUGCCGCGUGUGUGAAGAAGGUCUUCGGAUUGUAAAGCACUUUAAGUUGGGAGGAAGGGCAGUAAGUUAAUACCUUGCUGGUUUGACGUUACCAACAGAAUAAGCACCGGCUAACUUCGUG
RNAcentral lists this ribosomal RNA (484 nucleotides) under uncultured bacterium. Its description in RNAcentral is "partial 16S ribosomal RNA". It matches the Rfam family "Bacterial small subunit ribosomal RNA", at positions 30 to 507 of the family's 1533-position model. The record is from RNAcentral.